Molecule: long non-coding RNA, 10448 nt
Organism: Pseudopipra pipra
Lineage: Eukaryota; Metazoa; Chordata; Aves; Passeriformes; Pipridae
Exons: 4
Source: RefSeq, a predicted model, not a curated record
AAAAAAAAGAAAGGGGGGAAAAAAAGCCACCGAUAUAAAAUCUCCCCGAGAGGUAACACCAGUGCCCGUCAAACACUCAAAUUUCCCAGGCCACAGCCGCCAAGAACAGUCCCAAAGUUGGAAGGUGGGAAUCAGAGACCAAACAGUUUACCUGCUUGCAGCUGCACCAGUGGUCCUGCAACAUGGACAGAUCUCCACAUCACCGACUCUCAGUGGAGUUCAUGAUCCUAUAUACACACUUCAGUGUCACUGCUAUCACCCACAUUCCUGCAGGUCCAUCACUGUGCAUCGUCUGAGCCUACUGACACUGCCUGAGCACCCAUCUGAAAGGUCACAAGAAGACACACAGGCAGCAGUGGUUGCUUUUUCUCAGGCUUUCGAGAGAAAGCGAUGCCUAGAGAGCAAAGCAGAGCAGCCCCCACGUUAGCUGGGGUUGACAGAGUGCCCCAGGUCUGCAAAGUCACUGACAUUCUUCUCUUCAUCUCAGAACAAAGGAUGAACUUUGUCAUCACAUGACUCAUGGUUUUUCCAGAUGCUCAAAGAAUAGAAAGAAAUCAGGUUAAAUAAGUAAGUAAGUGGACAAGAGCAAGUCUCUUUGUCAUCACCUCCCUCCAAGGGCAAUUUUGGAGGAGAAAGAAGAGUUCUAUUGCCCAUUUGAAAGCUUAGCAAAUCCUGCCAAUAAUUGCGCUGGAAGAACAUCAUGUUCCCAUUUAUUCUCUGUUUCAGACUGUGCUCCCAGACCUGUGUGUUCCCCUCCUGAGAACAUUCAACCCAGAUGAAGUUACCUAAGAAACAUCUAAAUAUCUGAACAUACCUAAAGGCAAAUGUUGACAGAGGGUAUCUGGACAUACAUCAAACCCAUCAUGUCAUUUAGCUGCUCCUAAAAUCUGAGUGUGUAAGACUUGAGAUGAGUUAGGCAUUUGGUUGUGGAGCAGUGGGCAUGGUUUGCCUUGAGAUUGAGCAGCUGAGUGUCCCAUAGAGUCUGGGAGCAGAGUGAGCUUCACAAACCACAGGUGGUUUGUUCCCACACAAGCCCUAGCUACACUGUGCCAACCCCUGCCCAGCUGCAGAGCCAAAAUUCAGCCAAAACAGCUAAUCAAUCCCAGAUGGAGAGCUGCAGCAAAAAAACCAAGCGUUUCCCGUUGACCACUUAUCCCAAAGAUGCUCAAAAUUAAGCCAGUGAGGUUGGCACUUUUUGCUUACAAAUUAGCACCCAUUUAUUCAAGCAGACAGUAAAAAUUCCUAAGGAAAGAAGUGGCUUAUGUUUGUGGGAAUCAGCCAUUUGCCACUUUGAACUGCUUUUGAUGGAUUUCAACAGACCUCUGCACUUGAAGCCGGCGGGAGGCACGGCGGUGCCCACCGGCUCUCCCGGCAGCUCUCCGGGCACUGCAAGGGGCUGGGAAAACUCCAUAAACCCACCACAGAGCAUCCUCUAAACUCUCCAGGGUGGGCAAACGCGGCGACAGGAGAGCAGAGAGGAGAGACUUAACAGCCUGAUCUUGCGCUAGGGUUUAAUUUAAGUUAGAAAUAACAUCUCUUUCUCAUCUAGAUCAUAUUAGGAUUUUGAAAGGGCAGUCACGCAACUUCCCCCAGCAGUUAUGGCAGAACUGUGCUCGGAAAUGAAUGGAGCUCGUGGAAGCAUUCAGGACCGAACAAUUGGAUUUAUAAUUAGGCCUAAAAAGGAAAGAACGCUGAAUAAAAGCAGCACAGCCAAUUUUAGAAGAAAAGGAAGUUCUGGAUGGAAUUCAUUGGGGUAGAGCACUGAAGUGGAAAUGGAAAGUGUUCAAAGAUAAAUGAGUUUAGGCCUAAGAGUUUGCUUGACAUCUAGAAAAUGUACUAGGAACACAGUGUCAAGAAAAGCUAACGUGAAUAACAAAGAAACACAAGAAGUGAGAGAAGAGAGGAAAGAGCCAUAAAACUUUGGGACAACAAAGAGUUGCAAUUAUAGAGGGAAAUGUAAUGAAGUGUAAAAAAUCAUAAUGAAAGCAAAGAUAGAGAAUGAAAGGAUGAUUGCAUAUUUGCUUAAUGCACAUCGGAGAAGUGUCAAAGACAUGGGAAACAAGAGGUCACUAAAUGAGAAAAUAAAGCCUCGGAGGAAAGGCACUGAAUUUAUUGCUUUAAAUACAGACUUAUUUGCCUGGGAUUUACCACUUGAAAGCCAAUGACAGAUGCAAGUGACAGAAAUGUUUUCCUAAAGGAGAGGAAAAAUUUCAGAAGGAAACUGAGCUUUUUUUUCUUAGGCAACUGAUCCAGCAAUGUGGUCUGAUCCAAAGGCAAAACACUGGGAUCUAACAAGGGCUCAGAAACAGAGGGAAAACUCAGUCUAACCAGUCCCCAAGUGCAGGGAGGUUAAUGUUUGCUUAAUAACACCCUUUGCUGGCAUCAGGAGUCUUGUCUCAAAGUGACUCAGCUUUGCAGGUCAUUUGCAUCAGAGGGGGGGGGGUCUCUUCUCAGCCCUCAUUGGGCUCCCCUCCUGGGAUUUUUCUGAUAAGAUGUAUCUGGUUUUGGUACCCAAAAUACCUGCUACAUCCCACUAUAUCACUUCCCAGUAAUAUUACAGCUCAGGAGCUGCAUACAACAGUUAAUGCUGUGUGGCCCAAAAAAUCUUACCAUGUCCAGAUCAGCAGUACAAAGUGUGAUGGAAACCAUCCCAGGUUCUCCUGAGUGGUGUCCCAUGGGCUUCACUGCCUCUAGCAACUCUGUGGUUAUUUAAAGGCAAAUUCGGGGCUUCCCAGCUAUGGGGAAAACUGAGAUCUGUUAGUGAAUGAAAUACAGACAGUUACGCAACAAUAUAUCCCUUUCCCAGCAUGAGGUGCAGCCAUGGCUUUGCAUUUACAGAUCUGUGGCUGGCCUUGAUUCCAGCAGAAUAAAAAAACUCUUUCUGUAGAACAGUGUCCCCAAAAGGGACACAGGGCUUCAAUACCCUUUUUUGCCCUGAAAUGAAGAAUGGCCAUGAGCUGGGGAUCCCGUUUUGCUGGGGCAGCACCAAGAGACGGGGCCUGUGCCCUGCAGGCAACUUCCCAAACCCAUGGCAUGGGGAAGGAAUCAGCAGCUGAUGGAGAACAUGGCUUAGAUGACUCAUCACCAAAGAGAAGCACUUGCUGGGACACGAGGAAUGAGUCCUCACCUCAUCUAUAUAUUCCAGUGGUGUCUGUAUGUCCCACCCAUGUAGGUGCUGGAUCAUCCCAGAUGAGGUGGUGGGAUCCCCAAGGAAGCACAGAGUACUCCUGGGCUGGUCCAAACCUUCCUCCCCUUUGGGACCUCCAGGACUCGGUGACCUCAGAAACGGGGCUGAGAAAGAGCUCACAGCCCACAGCAGCCCGGGACACCCAUGGAAAAAGCAAAAAGGAAGUGGAGCAAGGCUGCCAAGUGCAUUUUCCCUCAAAAACCCUAUGAACAGCAGAGUGACACCCUGGGAGCAGGAUCCUACUGUGGAAACCAAUUCCACCAGAAAAUGUGGAAGAUGAGCUGCAAGCUGUGAGGUGCAGCCAUAUCCCUGCCCACUUGCUCCUGGAGAUCACACUUGAGCACGACAGGACAAUCCAAAUCCUGUCCCAAGUUGAGCACAGGACAGUUUUCAUACCUGAGGAUGGCUGCACAGACAGUGAGUUAAACUCAUCAAGGCUUCCUUGCUCAGAAGUGAAUGUGGAGCAACUUCUGCCUUGAGAGAGGGUCAGGAGGGGUUACCUUUACACAGCAGCAUUGCUCCUCUUCCCUGCUACCCCAGUGAUCUGAGUAGAUCUCUUCUUUUGUUGUUGCAGCUUUUCUUUUUGUGUCCUCAGCUAAAGGGAAUUAACUUCUACCGGGACCAGCCAAUGAGGCCUGUAUCGAUAAUUAGGCGUUCAGAGGCUUCAUGCUACUGUUUCCCCACAGCUCAGCCAACAAGGAUGAGAAGUGCCCAAGAAGUGCUGACUUUCCUGCCAUGCACGGAGGCAGCCAAGUCCCAUAUCCAAGAAAAAGAAUACUAUGGUGGAGGUAAAGGGAAAGCAACCAGAGCAGUGUGUGAGCCAGGCACAUAGAGCUAUAUUUGGGGUGGCUGAUUUUUGGGUUGAGAGGUGCCAUUGUGUGCUAGGAUAUCCUAAAACCCGGGAGAAUUUAAUCCCAGCUCAAAAGAAGGGCAGGCACAGUGAGGUGCACAGGACUGUGCAGCUUCGCUGGAUCAGGAGGAGGCAGCAGAGCUGGAAAUGCAGGGUCAGAGCAGUUCAGGCCCAUAUUCAGAGGGGCUCCAGUCCUAGUCCUUGUUGAAAUUAGUCUUUGCAUGGAUACGUAUAAAUAAAUCCAGGACACUGCUUGCGUAACAAUAACAUUUUGCAGUAUCUGGCAUUUGCCGCUAGUUGAAGGCUAAGCAAACCAUGCUUCAGUGGAGCAUAAAAUUGCUUUUCCUUUGGAACAAGCAGGGCAUUGUAGUAAUAGGCAAAACUGUACAUUGUGUUAACGGCUGUAUUUUCACAUUAUUGAUUUACAUUGUGUAAUGCCAUGCAAGACCUGCUUUCAAUGAUAUGUGCAUCUGUCAUAUCACAAUAACUGCAAAAGGCUGGGUGCUGCUUGGAAAAAUGAAGCGCUGGGGAUCCCGGGGCAUAUUCACAUCCCUGUGCCCAUCAUGCAGAGGUGAUGAUUAGGGGGAUGUUGUGGUAAUGAGCAGGUCCCAAGUGUGUGCUAUGUAAAUCAAGGCUGCCCGGGUCAGCUUCCACUUACUGUGCACAUCCAACUUUUUCAGCCUGCUUACUCUUCUGACAAGGAGAGUGUAUGGAAAUGCUUCUCCUUGGCAGCUCCCCUCAGCUAUGUGUGUGUCAAGGUAUCCAAGAUGGAUGAGUUGCAUUUUUUUUCCCCUCUCCAACUAUUUUCUGAAGGGGCCAGCCCUGGCACAGGAAUGCCUACAGGGAUCACCAGACACCAGAAAAGCAGAGCAGUAUGAGAGAGCCACCAAAGACAAAACCAGGGAGAUUGUCACAGGAAAUGUCAUCACUAAAUACACCUUAAAAUAAGAGAAUGAAGAAUCUGCAGGUACAGUGUUUUGAAUCUAAGUGAGUUCACCUCAAAAAUGCAAUUAAAAAGUGUUGAUAUCAGUCUGAAACAUUUUUAAAAUCACUAGAUAGUUAAUGCAAAGCUUUGUUUUACACUAUCUAGCCUGGUGGUAAAUUAGGUAGCUUAGCUUCCAUUAAUCUAUAAUAUCUGACUUCAUUGCUUACAGUGGCUGCAAGAGCUAUAUAUUAUAAUGGGGAAUAUUAAAAUAAUAUUUGUCUUCCUUUUUAUUUGGUUAUUUAUAAAUGUAUUAAAUUUUCUCAUUGCUCAAAGAGGAAGAACGAUCCCAGAUCCAUUUUGCCAGACCAACAACUGAGCAACCAGGUUCCAAUUCCUUCCACAGCUACAGACUUUCUGGCCUCAGGCAAGUCACAUAGUCUCUGUGCAUCACCCCCUCCAGCUGUAGGACUCAGCCACCCAGAACUUGUAGAGGGCCACAGGACCCCAGGAGAGACAGACAGACUGCCCUAAAAUCAAACAUCACUUAAAUAUUUGUCUAGGAUGUAGCGGAUUUAACAAUCAGAGGGGCUUUUUUUUUUUUUUUUUCAGCAGGUAUUUAAAAUCUGAAAUAGUUAAUAUUCAUCUAAGAAUCAGCUCUUUCCAGAAGGAGAGCCACAGAGAUGCCUCAAGUGGGGAACUUGGGGUGCUCUGCCAUUUCCAGGACCUUGACCUUCCAUCCACACAGCAACACAUUAUGGUUUUACACACCAGCAAGAGCCAGCAGUGUUGGAUCCAAAAUGCAGGAGAGAAAAGCAGUGAACCAACACACACUGGCCAUGCAGAGAUUAAAGGAAAGAUAUUUUACUUCCACUGAGAACGUGGAGGGAUCUCUGUGCUGUGAUGGAUGUGUUGAUUUUGUCUUACUGCCCUUCUCAGUCCUGAAGCAGCUCAGCUCUGUCCCUUUGCCAGCACCUCACAGGGGAGAUGUAAUUCCAGGAAAUUGCUUUCAACCCCGGCUCCCUACUGCAACAUAGAAACAUUUUUAAAGCUCAGGCCGAUGUGCUGCCUGUCUCCUGCCUGUCCCUGCCUUGAUGCACUGGUAUCCACCCUGUGCUUGUCACAUUACUGAAAAGAAAAACCAGGGUUAAAUGAGAGCUCUGCUUUUCAGUUCACCUUUAACUGGAAAUUACAGGGUUUUUUCCUUCCUUAUAUACUUUUUUCCCCCCCACUCUCUGCUAUCUUAGUCCAUUCUCUUUGUUUCAAUUGAAAAACUGGGGGACAUUUUACCAAAUUCUUAUUUCACGUGAUCCAAGAUAAAACCAAAGAUACGUCGUAAUGUUAGUCAUUACUGCCACAGACUGAAAGAAAAUCUAAGAUAAGGAAAGUUUUUACUCUUUUAUCCUUGAUGUUUUCUUUACUAUCUGUGCAUUUAAUUGAUCGCUUUUGAGCCUGCUCUUUUCUCCAGACUUGCAAGUCACUAAUGAUCAAGAUUUUAACAUUGUACAUUGUUUAAAAUGUUAGUUGUGUCAUCAACAGCUCACAGAAGCAAUGCAACUCUGAACUUGGGUCUUAGAAGGUAAAAGUCUUUUCAGUUUGUCUUUAAAUACUUGGAUAAAUCCCGUUAGCUUUCUCCACACCAUCAAAGCAUUUGGAUAGCAUAAAGCAACUGAAUACAUAAAAAUGUAUCUAAACACCUUGUAAAUCCCUACACAGAGCUGUUGCCGACACUACUUUUAACCCUAGGAAAACAUUUCACCAAUUACUGAUCAAAUACAAUACAGCUAAAUUUCACCGCCAGCACAUCAUUUUGAUAAUGGGUAUGGAAAUUAUCCAUUCAAUAGCUAUUCAGAAAUAACUUAGAAAGAUUGGUUUUCAGAUUCUUCUGAGAAUCCUAGAAUAAUCCCCUAUAAUCACCGUGGUGAGAAUCCACCAACAUUUUUCCCUUUGAAAAAGACUGGGGCGAGAGUGUUGGUGGUCUCUGCCUGUCCUCUGAUGGAUGGAUUCAAACAAUAUAUCUGAAAUCACCAGCACUUUGCUGGCAGAGGACUGAGAGGUUUCAUACUCUUACAUGACUCAGUCAAGAAAGUCUGCCAGCAUAGGGAAAGACUUUAGCUCUCCCCUGUCAGCUUGGCUUCUCAGGUGCACCUCAGCAACCUAUCAGUAUAAAUUUUCUUCCUUUGUCACAGAGCAAACUUGCAUCAUUUUCUAUUCAGUCUGGAAGAAACAAAACAAACAACAUAAAGUACCUAAAAUAAGCAAUAACUACACUUUGCACUUCCCUGCUGCUCUGUGACAGCUGCUAAAUGUGAUCCAGGAGUAUUUUAGAAUGUUUCAAUUUUAUGACCUUUCUUGCUUCUUGGUAUGAGGCUGAAAGGAUUCUCUCUUUCUUCUUUAGGGAAAGAUACUAUUUUCUGAUUUACUUUACUGAUUUCAUAGAUGUGAAAUUUGGUCUGACUGGGGGAGAUGAAGCAGGGGGGCUGUUGGAUGAGAAAUGUUUUCCUGCUCUGGAGUGGUAAUUAGACACCAGACAUGAGUGUAACAAAAACGAACCCCAGACAUGUCCAAAGCUUUCCUUUCCCCUUCAGUAACUCAGCUUUUGCUCCCUUAUGAAUUUAAGCUGCCCAGGUACCACAGAGUCCUUUAGCCCAAGGAAAACUGAAUUUCUCUAUACUUGCAUAUAAAGCCCUCUGGGGAUCCCCUGCCCUUGUGCCCUCCUUGUCACACUGCACCAGAGGUGACCCUGCUUCCCUGCUACCUUGACCACAGUUGAUGUCCCCAAAGGCAGACACAACCUGCCCUUCUAAAGCAAAUGACAGACACUGGCCAGGAGGGCCUUUCUCCCAUCCCAAGGCCAGGCCACUUAUUUCCACAGGUUAUUAUGCAAUGGGUUAAUUGGGGGCAUAACAACCUCCCCUGGGAAGCCCAAUUAAAAACAACAGCCCUGGCUUCUAUCCUUCAGGUGAGGACCACAAACGCACACGUGGGCUUUCAGAAUCACUGGUUUCUGUAGCAAUUUGCUACCGUCCCAGGGUGGGGGAAAGGCAAAUGAGUCACCAGUGAGGCACCCGCCCAGGGAAAGGCUGUGGCACCACCAGGACCCAAGUGCUCCCAGUCCACGCUGAAAUGGCAAAGUCAUUCUCUCCUGUCCCAAAAGUGCAGGUUUCAUACCCCAAAGUGGUAAAAGAAGAGUUAAUACAGCAAAGCACUAGCAGGAAAAAGCCUUUCUAAUAGCUGCACACGGGUGAGUUUUCAUUCACAAGCAAACUCACCAAAAGCAAAGAGCAGCUGCAAGAGCACCGGCACAAGCACCCACUCCAAUGGCCCUGUGCUGGCCAGUCUAAAAAUCUCCACAGUUAGAGCAAAGACAAAACAACACCACCUGGUUCAUAAGCAAAACCAUCUUCCAGUGGCUUGGACACUGAAUCACACACCAAAUCUGCUCACAAGAAUGUACUGAAUCCCUGAUGAUUCGGGGAGAGGCUGACGGUGGCUCAGGACUGUCACAUGGCAUCACUGGGCAAGUCUGGUCUGCCUGCACAUCACUCAAAGCCAAGAAAGGGGCUAUUUUAGGCCUACAUACUGUUUGCUGUAAACAGUUAUGGCAGCUCUGUGAUAACAGGAUCUAACAGGAUCGGGAAUGUUUUGUGGGGUGGAGAGGGCACAUAGAGUCAGGCAGAGCUGAGAGAGGCGGCAGCUCUGGGACCCGCCAUGGAGGGGUUGCGUCCUCCUCUGUCUGCUGGGCUGAGCCUCCAGCUGCAAGAGAAGUUGGACGUGAAGCACAUACAAAUCCCCCAGCCCUCAGGGGUUUCCUUUCACAGGAGAAAGCAUGGACUUCAGCAGCAGCACCUGGAAACCCCGGGCAGCAUUUGCAAGCUGUGCUCACAGCCAGGACAUAGGGCAUGGGGCAGCCGGGGAGACCCACCAGCCCCAGCACUCGGGUAACCCUUUGAGCAGGCUGGGCAGCACUCAGGGCAGCCUUGCUGCAGGGCUUUUUAUAUCAGCUUUACCUUCAAGACAAGAUUAUUGACCUUUCCAAUCCAAUAUUUAACAACCCCCAUUCAUUCCCAUUUUCCCCUUCCCUUCUACUUCAUUCCCUUUGUUGCUCUGUAAUGGAAGAGGCAACAGGGCACAUAUUUCUGCAGAACAAAGCAUUAUCAUCCUAAUUAUAGUUUCCUGGUGUUUUCUUCACUUUUACCAUUUUAUUAAAAACAAUUAGCUGAGAAAAACCAUCUUUUUUAAUCUCUACCCUAUUGUUCUCAUCUCUCUCUGAAUCCAAGGAGGUCUUUUCAGAGGCUAUUUUAUUCAUAAUUACAUAUAUUGGAACAACUGCUCAGAAAGUGAGCCCAGAAAUGAUUCUGACAAUACUUUCCUAGCAGGCUGGGUCCUGCUGCCUCUGAAGUGUGUAACACUAACAAUUUAAUAAAAUCUAUGUGAAAACAAGGGCUUAUUUUCAACAGCCUGUGUAAAUGAUGGAUGCAGCUAUGCCAGGAGCGUUGGCCUAAUAGAUUGAGGAGGAGUUGGAGUCACAGCAAAAUCAGAAGCCAAAGACUUUUGUUUGGCUGCCAGACUUGGCUCCCCUGACUCCUUUGAGGCGUCUGGCUGCAGGCAAGUAUGACCCUGAGGAUAACACAGCAAGGCAGGGGGAUUUUACCAGAUAAAGACCCCAGCUCCACCCAUUUGUACUCAAAACCUGCAGGACUCUGGAGGAAUGUUAGCCUCUUGGUCUAGUUUGGCCCCUAUGCUCCAAGCUUGAUUUAAGCACAGACCACUUCAGCUUCAAAGAUGCCUUCUGGAGUUUUUGCAUAUGUAUAAUUCUUAUUCCAAAGCUUCCCCCCUCCAGUUCUCUGUUUACCCUAUAGGCUUUUAUUUAAAAAACAGUACAGUCAGAGCAUUGCAAUUUUUUUCAUUUGAAAGAGAUGUUUGAAAUUUAUUUUUUUUUGCACUGGGAAAAAACUUUAAAGUGUAUCAUAUUAAGUCAAUUGGCUCUUCACAUUUUUUUUUUGAGCUUCCCCUCUACCACCUUUGUUAAUUACCCGCCAUUUGAACAAGGGUCUUCUCCUGCCUUGAUCCUGCCGUGAAAUCAUGAUGCUAUAUUUGUCUUUCUAACAUCAAAGUCAUUUCCAUGGUCACCAACUGUGAUGUCAUAAACACAUUUUUAAUGGCUUGUUUACAGCAGGGAACAGAAGGAGAGAAGAGAUUAUGGGUGGAAGGAAACUCUUAUCGAUACACAACAGUUUUAAGCACAACUGUGAGGCUGAGGCAUGCAGAAAACUUGAAGUCAAAAAAAAAUCCUUGCUGAAAUAGCUUCUCUUCUGAAGUUCGUCCCAGCACAAAAAUCCCUUUUUAAGUUACUAGUGAACCAGCAAUCCCAAUGGAUUACUAUUAUUUUAGUCAGCUCAGAGUUGGUACUUUCUAAGCUUGGAAGACAGCAAAUCCAUGCCCCAAUCCAUCCAUCUCACUGUAUAAAUGAACACACCCAACACACA